AAUGAAGUUGUUUUUCAUAUCAACAUUUUUACUCGGAAUAUCAGGAUAUUCUGUUGAUCCAUCCCUACCCUUCCUACCCCCGGAUAAAGUUAUAUUAUCCGAUUACCACAACCACAACCAGCUCCAGGAUAUCUUGACCACACUUGCUACAGCAGAUUUUGCUGAGAAAUAUAGGAUCGGACGCAGCGUGGAGGGAAGAGAAAUAGAAGCUAUCAAAAUAUCAGGAGGACCAGGAAGUUUAUCAGAACGACCUCUGUUAAAGCCGAUGGUGAAGUAUAUUGGAAACAUGCAUGGAAAUGAGGCAGUUGGAAGAGAACUACUUCUUGGCCUCGCUGUUCAAUUGGUUAACAUGUAUGGUGAGGAUGAGAGAAUAACUAAACUGUUGAACACUGUUGAGGUCCAUCUUGUACCUACCAUGAACCCUGAUGGGUUUGAAAGAGAACAAAGAGAGAAUGUGAAUGGUGUGGAUCUAAACAGGAAUUUUCCUACAUGGAAGGAACUCGGGAAUUCAAGAGAAGAACUUAAGAAAGGAAAGGAGAAGGAGACUGCAGCAAUGAUAGAUUGGAUUCUUGACAAUGAUUUCCUACUUUCAAUAAACUUUCAUGAUGGUGCUGUAGUUGCUAACUACCCUUGGGAUGAUAGAAACAUGAGACCCUCUACUGUAUCUAAACGGUUUCUUUCUGAUGGGGAGAAUAAUAGAUCCCCGGACACCAAGGUCUUUGAGAACCUGGCCAAGCUUUACUCAUCCAGGCAUACUACUAUGCAUGUUGGUGGAGCCAGCUGUGUGUCCGCCGGGUCCUUUGAUUACUUUGAAGAUGGAAUCACUAAUGGAGUUGAUUGGUAUCCAAUCGCUGGAGGUAUGCAAGAUUUUAACUAUCUAUUUACAAACUGCAUGGAGAUAACUGUCGAACUAUCAUGUAAUAAGAAACCUGGAGCUGACAAAUUACAGGGUGAAUAUGCUAAAAAUAUUGAAUCAAUGUUGGCGUACAUUGAGUCCGCAGAGAAAGCAGUGAGAGGACUGGUAAUGGACUCAAACAACAAUCCCGUAGCAGAUGCUGAAGUGAUAGUUGAGGGGGAGGGGAAGAUAAUCACAACAACGAGCAGGGGAGAAUAUUGGAGACUACUGAUCCCAGGGAAAUACAGGUUUAAAGCUGUUGGGAACGGCCAGGAAAGUGACUGGACUGAGGUUGAUGUUACUGAUGGCCCAGGUCCUAGGAUUGACCUCAGAUUAACAAAGGGGGAGCGGGGGGAGCUCUUUGGCUGGCUUUACACGGAUUCAAACAACUAGAGGCGGCUGAAGAAACAACUGUGAAUCCAAAUACAACAAUUGAGAAUGAAAAUGAUAUCAAGGGUAUCCAGGUAGAAAUAGCUCCUGGUUGGUGU
This 1383-nucleotide unclassified non-coding RNA is filed under the name Eurytemora carolleeae. RNAcentral's name for it is "carboxypeptidase N catalytic chain". The record is from RNAcentral. Lineage: Eukaryota; Metazoa; Arthropoda; Copepoda; Calanoida; Temoridae.